Molecule: ribosomal RNA, 253 nt
Filed under: uncultured bacterium
Lineage: Bacteria
Description: partial 16S ribosomal RNA
Rfam family: Bacterial small subunit ribosomal RNA
Source: RNAcentral
UACGUAUGGUGCAAGCGUUAUCCGGAUUUACUGGGUGUAAAGGGAGCGCAGGCGGCACGGCAAGCCUGAUGUGAAAGCCCGCGGCCCAACCGCGGGACUGCAUUGGGAACUACCGGGCUGGAGUGCCGGAGAGGUAGGCGGAAUUCCUAGUGUAGCGGUGAAAUGCGUAGAUAUUAGGAGGAACACCAGUGGCGAAGGCGGCCUACUGGACGGUGACUGACGCUGAGGCUCGAAAGCGUGGGUAGCAAACAGG